GCUCCCAUAACUCAGCUUGGCCAGAGUGGCAGCCUUAUAAGCUGCAAGCCGCGAGUCCAAAUCUCGCUGGGAGCA
This 75-nucleotide transfer RNA is filed under the name Candidatus Helarchaeota archaeon. RNAcentral's name for it is "tRNA-Ile". It matches the Rfam family "tRNA". Rfam says of the family: Transfer RNA (tRNA) molecules are approximately 80 nucleotides in length. The record is from RNAcentral. Lineage: Archaea; Promethearchaeati; Candidatus Helarchaeota.